RNAcentral lists this ribosomal RNA (468 nucleotides) under uncultured bacterium. Its description in RNAcentral is "partial 16S ribosomal RNA". It matches the Rfam family "Bacterial small subunit ribosomal RNA", at positions 28 to 507 of the family's 1533-position model. The record is from RNAcentral.
GACGAACGCUGGCGGCGUGCUUAACACAUGCAAGUCGAACGGAAAGGCCCUGCUUUUGUGGGGUGCUCGAGUGGCGAACGGGUGAGUAACACGUGAGUAACCUGCCCUUGACUUUGGGAUAACUUCGGGAAACUGGGGCUAAUACCGGAUAGGAGCUCCUGCUGCAUGGUGGGGGUUGGAAAGUUUCGGCGGUUGGGGAUGGACUCGCGGCUUAUCAGCUUGUUGGUGGGGUAGUGGCUUACCAAGGCUUUGACGGGUAGCCGGCCUGAGAGGGUGACCGGCCACAUUGGGACUGAGAUACGGCCCAGACUCCUACGGGAGGCAGCAGUGGGGAAUAUUGCACAAUGGGCGGAAGCCCGAUGCAGCAACGCCGCGUGCGGGAUGACGGCCUUCGGGUUGUAAACCGCUUUCGCCUGUGACGAAGCGUGAGUGACGGUAAUGGGUAAAGAAGCACCGGCUAACUACGUG